This 492-nucleotide ribosomal RNA is filed under the name uncultured bacterium. RNAcentral describes it as "SSU rRNA". It matches the Rfam family "Bacterial small subunit ribosomal RNA", at positions 26 to 518 of the family's 1533-position model. The record is from RNAcentral.
AGGACGAACGCUGGCGGCGUGCUUAACACAUGCAAGUCGAGCGGAAAGGCCCACUUGUGGGUACUCGAGCGGCGAACGGGUGAGUAACACGUGAGUAAUCUGCCCUCCACUCUGGGAUAACGUUCAGAAAUGGGUGCUAAUACCGGAUGUACACAGGCCGACGCAUGUUGGUGUGUGGAAAGGUUUUUCUGGUGGGGGAUGUGCUCGCGGCCUAUCAGCUUGUUGGUGGGGUAAUGGCCUACCAAGGCUUUGACGGGUAGCCGGCCCGAGAGGGUGACCGGCCACACUGGGACUGAGACACGGCCCAGACUCCUACGGGAGGCAGCAGUGGGGAAUAUUGGACAAUGGGCGGAAGCCUGAUCCAGCAACGCCGCGUGAGGGAUGACGGCCUUCGGGUUGUAAACCUCUUUCACUAUUGACGAAGCCGCAUUCUUUUGGGUGUGGUGACGGUAGGUGGGGAAGAGCACCGGCCAACUACGUGCCAGCAGCCGC